AUGCCGGGAGCGGUGCAGGUGCAGAGCCUGGCCGGUCUCGACCCGGCCGGCCUCACCGCGCUGGCCCGUUCGGCCCGGGCCCGGCACG
RNAcentral lists this transfer RNA (88 nucleotides) under Ornithinimicrobium pekingense. Its description in RNAcentral is "tRNA-Arg". Lineage: Bacteria; Bacillati; Actinomycetota; Actinomycetes; Micrococcales; Ornithinimicrobiaceae. The record is from RNAcentral.